This 694-nucleotide ribosomal RNA is filed under the name uncultured bacterium. RNAcentral's name for it is "bacterial SSU rRNA". It matches the Rfam family "Bacterial small subunit ribosomal RNA", at positions 32 to 715 of the family's 1533-position model. The record is from RNAcentral.
AACGCUAGCUACAGGCUUAACACAUGCAAGUCGCGGGGCAGCAUGUAUCUGGCUUGCCAGAUACGAUGGCGACCGGCGCACGGGUGAGUAACGCGUAUCCAACCUGCCCAUAACCACGGCACAGCCCGUCGAAAGGCGGAUUAAUGCCGUAUGAGGUUCCGGCGUAGCAUUAUGAUGGAACGAAAGGAUUGGCGGUUAUGGAUGGGGAUGCGUCCGAUUAGCUUGUUGGCGGGGUAACGGCCCACCAAGGCGACGAUCGGUAGGGGUUCUGAGAGGAAGGUCCCCCACACUGGAACUGAGACACGGUCCAGACUCCUACGGGAGGCAGCAGUGAGGAAUAUUGGUCAAUGGGCGUAAGCCUGAACCAGCCAAGUAGCGUGCAGGACGACGGCCCUAUGGGUUGUAAACUGCUUUUUCGCGGGGAUAAAGAGGGGGAUGCAUCCCCCGUUGCAGGUACCGCGUGAAUAAGGACCGGCUAAUUCCGUGCCAGCAGCCGCGGUAAUACGGAAGGUCCGGGCGUUAUCCGGAUUUAUUGGGUUUAAAGGGAGCGCAGGCCGUAUGGUAAGCGUGUUGUGAAAUGCCGUGGCUCAACCAUGGCACUGCAGCGCGAACUGGAUGACUUGAGUUCGCGGGAGGUAGGCGGAAUUCGUGGUGUAGCGGUGAAAUGCUUAGAUAUCACGAAGAACUCCGAUUG